This 496-nucleotide ribosomal RNA is filed under the name uncultured bacterium. RNAcentral's name for it is "bacterial SSU rRNA". It matches the Rfam family "Bacterial small subunit ribosomal RNA", at positions 28 to 431 of the family's 1533-position model. The record is from RNAcentral.
GAUGAACGCUGGCGGCGUGCCUAAAACAUGCAAGUCGAGCGGCAGCGAGUUCCUCGCUAAUGUUCGGAUUUGUUUACCAAUGAUGCAAGUAAUUUAGUCAGAGUAACAAAGUAACGACUAGUUGUUUAAGUUAAAAGGUAGAUUUAAUAUUCCGGAUAUGAGCGAGGAAUGUCGGCGAGCGGCGGACGGCUGAGUAGCGCGUAGGAACAUACCCCAAAGUGAGGCAUAACCGCCCGAAAGGGUGGCUAAUACCGCAUAUUGUCUUCGGAUGAAAGCUUUUAGCGCUUUGGGAAUGGCCUGCGUUUGAUUAGCUAGUUGGUGAGGUAAGGGCUUACCAAGGCGAUGAUCAAUAGCUGGUUUGAGAGAAUGAUCAGCCAGACUGGAACUGAGACACGGUCCAGACUCCUACGGGAGGCAGCAGUUGGAAGUUUUCCACUAAUGGGCGAAAGCCUGAUGGAGCAACGCGCGUGCAGGAGAAGUGCCUUCGGUUGUAACU